CAAAGAGGCAUUUGUAACGAGAAAACGCUGUCUACGCAGGAUACUCGGAACGACGAGGGGGUUGGUGACAAAGAAGACAGAGUCACGGCAGAAAAAGGGAAAGACGAAUGCCAACAAAAAACACGCACAUUACAGAAUGAAGGCAGUCUGGAGGUCUACUCAAAUCGAAGCCCUCGGCGCUAUAUACCACGACGACAAAAUCGUCGACGGUAGCGCCGACAAGGGCGAUGAGGACGACGGCGCAACAGCGAUGACGGCACGACGGCUCACACGUCACGAACUCGUUGGAUCACAAGUAUACAGUACAAGUUCCUGUCUCCCGCACGAAUAUGUUUAGCGAUUCUUUCAUCCCUAGGACAAGCUCCGACUGGAACCACCUUCCUGCCACCAUCGCUCUUAU
This 400-nucleotide long non-coding RNA is filed under the name Dermacentor andersoni. Its description in RNAcentral is "uncharacterized LOC126548266". The record is from RNAcentral. Lineage: Eukaryota; Metazoa; Arthropoda; Arachnida; Ixodida; Ixodidae.